AACCUUUUUUGUUUUUUGGAAAUCAUGGGGUUUUUGGUUUUGGGUUGAUUGAGAGGCUAUUGUCACGUUGCAGAUUGAUUAGUUGUGUGAAGGGAAAUCAUGAAUUGUUGAUUUUGAUAAUCAAUAAAUGAAAGAUCCCACAAUAUUAGUAGGUUUGCAGAUUUCAAUGAUGAACAAAUGCUGGUCUGCUUUGUUGAAUGGAUGUUCUUGCUGAAUGAACAGGUGGACCUCAUUCAUGAGGAAGGUUAUGAGCAAGCUUGGAGAUUUAGAUGUAAAUUCAAUUGGCUAGUGGCCAAAAAUCAAAAUUAUGCUCAGACAUGGAGCUAAUGUGAACCAAAUUAUAUGUGCUUCUAUGAGUCAACAUUCUCCAGAAGAAAAACUAAUGAAAAUGUUCCAUUUAACAACAGGGUGAGAAAAGGCCUGAAAUGAAGGACUCUUGGAAAGGGUAAUGACAAUGCUCUUUACCAUUCAUUUAGAUGUUGCUCUGUCUUCCAACACACAGUUGAGAACUAUGUCAUUAUUGAUGUAACUGGGUUUUCAAACUGGUUAUAUGUAUUCCUUCCUUUUGUCUGUAAUAUACAAUUCAUCUCAUUUCUUGUAGUGCUGCCUGCUUUUCCUUACAUGGCUAGAUGAUCAUUUGGUGGCACCA
Molecule: long non-coding RNA, 649 nt
Organism: Vitis riparia (riverbank grape)
Lineage: Eukaryota; Viridiplantae; Streptophyta; Magnoliopsida; Vitales; Vitaceae
Exons: 2
Source: RefSeq, a predicted model, not a curated record